GGGACAGGACAUGCCAUGCACUGAUCAGCAUCAGUUCACUGCUUUCCAAAAUGUGUUUUCCCAUGUAUAGCUCUGUGUCCCACGGUGGGGUCACCCUAGGACAACAAAAGAGUUAAGGCUAAAAGCUCUUUUAAAAAAAAAAAAAAAAUAUUAAUCUCUUCCAGGGCAGGAGAGGUCAGGGGAAGGACGCCAGGACCGGCAGCGGGCACAGGCGAAGGCGCCACUGAGGCACCGGAGCAGGGCUGAGCCCUCAGCGCUGCCCGCAGGCGGUUCUAGAAUCCGCCCGGCUGACACCCCUCAGCGAUUCGGCUGCAACCGGCCAGUGAGAGACACCCGGGCACCCCUGGGACAACACCGAGCCACUCGUGAGGGAAACCCGGGCACCGCUGUGGUGACACCAGACCAGUUGGGAGGAAAAUGCGGGCACCCCUACGACAUCUGUGGGACACUGUGAGGAUCCUCGGAAUCUGCUUUAAGCCACCUUUUCUAGAGAACAGGUAUCCUUGAGAUGCCUUGCCGACUGCUAGACAGCAAGUAUGCGAUGCUUCCUGGCCAGUGAGCAGGACAGACAAAUUGCUUUCCAAGCUGUGUAACGCAGGUCUGAAAUAGAGGAAAAUAUGAGUCAGCACUUCAAAGGCUCAGACAUGCUGGUAAACCAGGAAAUGAAGCUCAGAUGGCCAAGGAACACCCAUUCAGAACAGUUCCAGCUAGAAGAGCACAGUGCUGUUAUCAAGAUCUGCAAGGGCAUACAGGACCAGAGAUUGGUGAAAAAGUUGUUGUCUUUCUCCUAAACAGCUGUUCCACAGGUUUCUCAUAGUAAUUUCAAGCAGGCAGCUGUAUUUCUGUCCACAGAAAUCACCAACAUUCUACGCUGCUGGAGGUUACCUGAAUUUGUGUAAGCAGUAUAAUCUACCACUUCUCAGCAACAGAUUCCUCAAGGGCAACUGAACUGAGACAUUGACAUUUCAGGAGAUCUGUAGCAAACAUCAUAAACUGACGUUUGAGAGCUUAGCUUGCGAUAUUUCUGACAAUGGAUUACAUAAAUACACUACGCCAAAACUGUUUGUAAAUGCCAUCCAGUGCCAAAAAUGUUUGCAAAUGUCACAGGGAACCACCCAAUAUGAAAAGGAUCCUUUCCUUAAUCUAGAUUGAUUACUUCUGCACAAAGGCCUGACCUACAGGCUACAGAACACAAACAGUGCUUCACUGAUGCCUGCUGUGCCCCCCUGUGACUCCCAUCAGUAGGAAAUGAAACCAUGCAGUGACUUACAGGAACUGUUCACUGUUUUUCUGCAUCAGAUAUCUUGAAAAAAACAUCAUUUUCAAUUUCAGAGAGUAUCAGAAGGACAAUUUGGUGAUAAGACAAUGGGUGUUUGGGAACUGAAGAGAGAACACAGGUCUAUUACCCUGACUAACAGAAGAUGCAGCUAACCUGUUAGAUCAUGUUACUCAGACCCUGGUUCCUAGACAAUAGAUCCACUAAAUCAUGCUCUCACUGGAGAGUGUCACCUUUGUGUAUCGAAUACACACUUACUGGUCUGUGAUUUCUUCCAUUCUUCCACAUUCUAGAAAGUCUUGGAUUAAAAGUGAUUUUUUUAGGUGGUCUGUGUUGUUGGCAAAUAUCUUAUCAAGCUUCUAUUUUAAUAAUUCAGGCUGAAAAUGCUAAGUCAAAGACUUUCUUUCGAACAUGCACUCUGAAUUUAAGCCACUGUUGUUUGUACCUGAAGUUAUCUGUUAUAAAUGGUGUCUAUCAGUUUCAUGACUUCCAAAUAUGAAUACAAUAUAAAUAAGAGAUUAUUUGGUUUGGGUUUUUUUCAAUUCUAGUAACCAGUUUCUAUUAAUUUUGUGAAUGUAUAUUUAAAUAGAUACUUCCCUCUUCAGUUGUACAUUUCAAAUUCUAACUAAAAAAAAAAGAAUCACUAAAAGUGUUUUUGGCUAUGAGAACUUGUCAGUGAAGAAACUACACAAUCCCAUCUACUCAAAGCCCUACACUACCUACCUGAAAUCUGCUUUCAGCUAAAUGGAGAAAGUAACUUUGAAAAUUUCUCUUCCUGGAAAUUCAUGGGCUUUUCCAGCACUCUGCCACUCCAAAGAAGAGAUCAGACUUUGGAGCAUUCAAGCUAUCGCUGUACACAGUGGAAUAACACAUCAUCAAAAGGGGUCUCCUCUAAUGCAUUGUUUUGAAGAUCAUGAAUGGUAACUAAGGGUUAUGGAUCCCAGGGCUCUCAUAUCCAUCUGCACUUGCACACAGAACACUCUGACUGACCAGAUGGCUUCUUACAAAACAACAUGUUUAUAUGAAUAGUUUCCAAAACACUUUCUGGUGGCAUGCUUAUUUUCUGUAAGAGUCCUGCAGAUGGUUCCCUUCCCCUACCUAUAUGUUCUCCAAAAUAUAUCUUCUGAACUAGCUGUUAUACAAUCUUCAGCUACAUAUGCUGAAAUUUGACUAUGAAUAUCUAAAGCUGGCAAUUUUCUUAAAAUAAUCUCCAUAAAAAGAAACUUAACAAGCAAUUAUAGAUCAGCUAGUUUAAGUGCAGCUGUAGAAUAAAUAUUACAAACUAGUUUGCAGGAUUUAGUAGGCCAAAAAGUAAGCUUGAAAGCCACAAUUUAAUCACAGGCAAUUCAUGUAGAUUUGGACACGGGUGGUCUUGUUUAACUUGUAUUCUUUGACAGUAUUACUGCCAUGGCAAACAAGGGCAAUUAAGUUGAUAUCAGUGCUUUAGGUUUAUAAUUGUCAUGAAGUCUGAUAUUGAUUCUACUAACCAGGAGGUAACGUAACUUACUGGGCAGGAAACUGGCUCAAGAAGGGCAGAUUUUGUGAAAAGAACAUUAUUCAGAUAUAUCAGAGAGAUCUGUGGGGUGUACACACAUGACGCAUGAAGCAGUGAGGUACUGAAAUGGUCCUGAACAACUAUGCAAUAAAUUGCUCUUAUCAUCCACAUUUACCACUAUGUGUUCACUCUAGUAGCUAUCACUAUAGAGACAAUUUAGUGGAUUCUCACCUGCUGAGUAGUUUAAAAAAUUAUACCAAGAAAAAUUCUCUUAAUAUCAAAUAAAAAUAUUCACUUUGGCCAGUCUGGUGCUCUUUGAUGACUUGGAUGCCACAUAAAAACAUGCAUUAGGGCAUAACAUAAUAUUCUAUAUGUUUGUGGACAUUUUAUAUUGAAAAUUCUGUGCCAUUUUAAAACAUAUUAAUAUUUAGGGAUUUGAUUGAAAAGGGACAGAAAGAUAUACAGCUUUGGUAGUUUAAAACAUGAGCGCUCCCAUGUUGGAAAGUGGACACCACCAUACAGUAGGGAAAGCAAAACAUUUAGGCAUCUGCACUUGUUUACAACCCCAACGCUUUAGCACAUUCUCAACUAUUGAUUGUUUGUGUCGCAAACUCCUCUGUGCUCUCCUUCUCUGGAGGAGUCAGCUCCAGCAGAAUAAUGGGGCAAAUUGUUAUGGACAGAGAGGGUAACUAGGAAAUAAAGCAUCCAGACAUGUCUAUUCUUAUUUACUAGAGAAUUUAAGAAAAUACAUAGAAAAUAAAACCCUUUCUCAUUAAAUUAGGUAUACUAUUAGAGCAAAAUUUUUAGAAGAAUCCUACUCACGUAAUCAUGCCAGAAAUUGUUUUACAUUAUAAAAAGAAAGAACUAGAUGAUUACAAACAAGCUUUCUUCACAAAUCAUGUAUACUUAUUAAUGACACAAAAAAAUCUGAAACUUUGAUAAUAACUGUUACUUGAAGGGAAGGAAGAAAGAAAAUGUCCUGUAAGAUCUCUUAGCUAUUCAAGCAGGAAUAUGUUCUAUGUGCUUGCAAUAAAAGUUUUUAUUAAUCCUCUAUGUCAAUCUCUUUCAAAUGUAAAAAUUUCAAAUAUAAUUUUAUAACUGUUAAUCAGAUGCA
Molecule: non-coding RNA, 3885 nt
Organism: Phalacrocorax carbo (great cormorant)
Lineage: Eukaryota; Metazoa; Chordata; Aves; Suliformes; Phalacrocoracidae
Source: RefSeq, a predicted model, not a curated record